RNAcentral lists this ribosomal RNA (468 nucleotides) under uncultured bacterium. RNAcentral describes it as "partial 16S ribosomal RNA". It matches the Rfam family "Bacterial small subunit ribosomal RNA", at positions 28 to 507 of the family's 1533-position model. The record is from RNAcentral.
GACGAACGCUGGCGGCGUGCUUAACACAUGCAAGUCGAACGGAAAGGCCCUGCUUUUGUGGGGUGCUCGAGUGGCGAACGGGUGAGUAACACGUGAGUAACCUGCCCUUGACUUUGGGAUAACUUCAGGAAACUGGGGCUAAUACCGGAUAGGAGCUCCUGCUGCAUGGUGGGGGUUGGAAAGUUUCGGCGGUUGGGGAUGGACUCGCGGCUUAUCAGCUUGUUGGUGGGGUAGUGGCUUACCAAGGCUUUGACGGGUAGCCGGCCUGAGAGGGUGACCGGCGACAUUGGGCCUGCGAGACGGCCCAGACUCCUACGGGAGGCAGCAGUGGGGAAUAUUGCACAAUGGGCGGACGCCUGAUGCAGCAGCGCCGCGUGCGGGAUGCCGGCCUUCUGGUUGUAAACCGCUUUCGCCUGUGACGAAGCGUGAGUGACGGUAAUGGGUAAAGAAGCACCGGCUAACUACGUG